This 124-nucleotide small RNA is filed under the name Arabidopsis thaliana (thale cress). RNAcentral's name for it is "ATSL218720". The record is from RNAcentral. Lineage: Eukaryota; Viridiplantae; Streptophyta; Magnoliopsida; Brassicales; Brassicaceae.
AGAAAAACCUUAUGGAUUUAGAACAUGGUUCAAGAAUUUUCCAUAUGGUUUCAAUUGUGGUUUACGGGAUGAUUAGUUGAGAUUGUAGCGGUAAAUUGUGGCUUAAAAUAUUGAUGUUAUAUAU